This 246-nucleotide ribosomal RNA is filed under the name uncultured bacterium. Its description in RNAcentral is "partial 16S ribosomal RNA". It matches the Rfam family "Bacterial small subunit ribosomal RNA", at positions 28 to 273 of the family's 1533-position model. The record is from RNAcentral.
GAUGAACGCUAGCGGCAGGCCUAAUACAUGCAAGUCGGACGGGAUUUGGGAGCUUGCUUCCAAUGAGAGUGGCGCACGGGUGCGUAACACGUAUGUAACCUACCUUGUUCAGGGGGAUAGCCUCUCGAAAGAGAGAUUAAGACCGCAUAACAUUAUGCAGUAGCAUUACUUUAUAAUCAAAUAUUUAUAGGAACAAGAUGGGCAUGCGGAACAUUAGCUAGUUGGUAGGGUAACGGCCUACCAAGG